Molecule: ribosomal RNA, 464 nt
Filed under: uncultured bacterium
Lineage: Bacteria
Description: partial 16S ribosomal RNA
Rfam family: Bacterial small subunit ribosomal RNA
Source: RNAcentral
CCUACGGGAGGCAGCAGUAGGGAAUUUUCGUCAAUGGGCGCAAGCCUGAACGAGCAAUGCCGCGUGAACGAGGACGGUCUUCGGAUCGUAAAGUUCUGUUGAAGGGGAAAAAGAGCGGAGAGAGGAAAUUGUCUCCGAUUGAUAUUACCCUUCGAGGAAGUCACGGCUAACUACGUGCCAGCAGCCGCGGUAAUACGUAGGUGGCGAGGGUUAUCCGGAAUGAUUGGGCGUAAAGGGUGCGUAGGCGGCCUGCUAAUUCUGGAGUGAAAGGUACCGGCUCAACCGGUACAGGCUCUGGAAACUGGCGGGAUAGAGAGCAGGAGAGGGAGGUGGAACUCCAGGUGUAGCGGUAAAAUGCGUAGAUAUAUGGAAGAACACCAGUGGCGAAGGCGGCCGCCUGGACUGUUACUGACGCUGAGGCACGAAAGCGUGGGGAGCAAAUAGGAUUAGAUACCCCUGUAGUC